UACGGAGGGUGCAAGCGUUAUCCGGAAUUACUGGGUUUAAAGGGUGCGUAGGCGGCUUGAUAAGUCAGAGGUGAAAGCCUAUCGCUUAACGAUAGAAUUGCCUUUGAUACUGUAAAGCUUGAAAGGGGUUGAGGUCAGCAGAAUGUGGCAUGUAGCGGUGAAAUGCAUAGAUAUGCCAUAGAACACCGAUUGCGAAGGCAGCGGGCUGGGCCUACUUUGACGCUGAGGCACGACAGCGUGGGGAGCGAACAGG
Molecule: ribosomal RNA, 253 nt
Filed under: uncultured bacterium
Lineage: Bacteria
Description: partial 16S ribosomal RNA
Rfam family: Bacterial small subunit ribosomal RNA
Source: RNAcentral